This is a long non-coding RNA of Tupaia belangeri chinensis (Chinese tree shrew), 636 nucleotides long. RefSeq lists it as uncharacterized. The record is from RefSeq and is a predicted model, not a curated record. The transcript is spliced from 4 exons. Lineage: Eukaryota; Metazoa; Chordata; Mammalia; Scandentia; Tupaiidae.
CCCUGCUGCUCUGUGGCAUGGCUGACCUGAACCCAAGAGCACAACUCCUGAAUAAGUGGACUGAAUCCCACUGGGUUGUUCACAAUCUCUGCUGCUGAGUGACUAGGAAGAAUACAUAUGCACACGCGUGAGGCUGCUUCGCACAUGGUGAAGAGGUCAGCAUAGAAAUGGUCCAAGCGUUUAUUUUUCACAUCUGCUCUGCGUCCAGAGAUCAGUUUGGAUUGUUUACACCAGCUGCUCACCAGGCUGUGACUCAAAUUCAGCUGACGAAGUAGCUGUUAUAAAAGCAAGGGAAGUCCCCUCAAAGGAUCCAGGAUACCGAGUUACUACCCCUUCAUAGUUUGGCAGAGUUCUCUCACCAAGACAGACUGGCAUCACCUUCCCAAUGAAUGAAAUAUGACUACAUUGACUGGAAUUCAGGAAGCCUUCCUAGACCGUGGAACCUCAGAUCAAGGACAAGGAAUCAAUAAGCAGAGUGAGCUGGAUCCCUGAUGCUUGCAGAGGGGCUCCAAGGACAGCAAGCUCUGGAAUCUUCUCUGCACCAACACCGAGGGCCCGUGAAGAAAGGUCCAUUUAAACACAAGCAGUCAGACUGCAUCCAUGGCAGACCCAGGACCAGACAGACCAACCCACAAC